AGUGAACGCUGGCGGUAGGUCUAACACAUGCAAGUCGAACGGCAGCACAGUAAGAGCUUGCUCUUACGGGUGGCGAGUGGCGGACGGGUGAGGAAUACAUCGGAAUCUACUUUUUCGUGGGGGAUAACGCAGGGAAACUUACGCUAAUACCGCAUACGACCUACGGGUGAAAGCAGGGGAUCUUCGGACCUUGCGCGAUUGAAUGAGCCGAUGUCGGAUUAGCUAGUUGGCGGGGUAAAGGCCCACCAAGGCGACGAUCCGUAGCUGGUCUGAGAGGAUGAUCAGCCACACUGGAGCUGAGACACGGUCCAGACUCCUACGGGAGGCAGCAGUGGGGAAUAUUGGACAAUGGGCGCAAGCCUGAUCCAGCCAUACCGCGUGGGUGAAGAAGGCCUUCGGGUUGUAAAGCCCUUUUGUUGGGAAAGAAAAGCAGCAGGUUAAUACCCCGCUGUUCUGACGUUACCCAAAGAAUAAGCACCGGCUAACUUCGUG
This 492-nucleotide ribosomal RNA is filed under the name uncultured bacterium. Its description in RNAcentral is "partial 16S ribosomal RNA". It matches the Rfam family "Bacterial small subunit ribosomal RNA", at positions 29 to 507 of the family's 1533-position model. The record is from RNAcentral.